Molecule: ribosomal RNA, 553 nt
Rfam family: Bacterial small subunit ribosomal RNA
AAUAUUAGUCAAUGCUCGCAAGAGUGAACUAGCUAACUGAAAUUACAAGAACCACUUUGUGGUGAAUGUAAUAACGUAAGGGAUAAAAAUGAUAUUACCUUACUAUUAGUGUUGUCCAAAGUUGGUGCCAGAAGACUCGGUAAGGCCAGAAACACAAACGUUAGUCGUCCUAAUCAGGCGUAAAGGGUAUGUAGGCUGCUUUAAAAAUAUUUUCAAAAAGAAAGAUGAGUCAAAGCUAGAAUCAAAAUGAGGAUAAGUCAAAUAAUACCUAGUGUAGGGUUUAAAUCUGUUGAUGUUAGGUAGAGUACUAACGGUGAAAGCUUUUUAUCUAGAAAUGAUUGACGCUGAGAAACGAAGGUGAGAAUAGGAAAUAGGAUUAGAUACCCAGAUACCUCUCACAGUCAACGAUGAAUGGUGGUUGUUAGUUAGUUUACUCUAACUGAUAAUGAUGUUAACACGAUAACCAUUCCGCCUUGCGAGUACGGUUGCAAAACUGAAACCAAAAAAAUUAGUCGGUCUCGAAGCAAACGAAGUGAAGCAUGUUAUUUAAUUC